ACUCGCUGAGCUAAACCAACUCUGCCAUCUGAGAAGAUACUUUGGCACGAUGAUGCUUGGUUCACCUUGGCACAAAGGUCAAGAGGACAAAGGCUCAGGAAUGAUGGGAAUUCAACUUGACCAUGAGAACAGCAUCAGAACAUUGCUGAAGAGACAAGCAAGUUCUCCACCAUUGAGGGCUUCAGUACACUUCUGCACAGCGAUCUGGAGAGGAAGAGAGGAUGUUCAAGAAGAACUUGUGCUGAAAAUGGACCAUAGCCUCAUGCAGAUACAUCCAGCCAUGGAUACACAUGAUUAUAGGCUAUCAAUACUAUGAGUUAACAAUAAGGUACUAGAGGCCAUGUUGUAUUGUGAAUAAGUCACGGCUAAAGGGCAUUGAUAGGCACGUUACCACACAAUCAAAAUAUUAAAAUAAAAAAUGUAUGUACUGUUGUGUUAGUUUUUUGAUGCAAGUUCGUUAAAUGCCAUCACGAACGCACACACAUCAACAUAUCUCCGCAUGAGAAGAGUUUAUUUGACUGGGGAGGGCGUGGUCUCAAAAUUAAAGAUAAAAGACGCAACAUAACGCCAGUAGGGUUCACUCACACUUCAUUAAAUAAAUAACAAGCAGUCAAUUCGGCCGAAAUGCGUAAUACAUGGAACAGUUUUGACGCUAUAUUAUUGAUUGUUUUCCAGAUAGCACACGCACAUCUGCAAGAUGUCAUUAAGGAUCACUUGAUCUGGAAAGCAUCUCCUGUGUAUGAACAUCUGACAGACGUCUGCAAGAUGUCAGUUUUGCAUACAUUCUAAAUCAUAAACAUCUUAAAGACAUAAUAUUUAACAUCUAAUAGAAAACGUCCUAUAGACGUAUUGCAGAUGAGCAAACACUCUAAAAAAUAUGUCUUCCAGAUGUAAAUGUAGACGUCAAAUAGACAUCUCCGUGAUGUAUGUGCGCUAUCAGGGUUAUGUUGCUAAGGGUGUUGCUCGGUGAUACACAGAACCUUUGGGUGAAGCUGUUAUAGCUGUGCUUUAUAGUGAAUAAAACAGCUGCUGACCAAUCAGAAUUGAGGACUGGAACCAUUUUAUAAUACGUACUAUAUCUUUUUUUAAAUCAUUUACCCCUCGCCAAGAAGCACUUCAUUUAACUUGCUCAACCUAACACGAUUAUGUCUGUUUGUUCAACAGGACAGACAUGUUCUAGCCAACUCCAUGCAAAGAAGCAAUGUUCGGUGGUCAAAAUCAACAUAAACAACACAAGAUGGAAUCAGGCAGAGACGAUUUUACAUAAAUGUGACCCUGGACCACAAACCCAGUCAUAAGUAGCAUAGGUAUAUUUGUAGCAAUAACCAACAAUACCCAACAUUGUAUGGGUCAAAAUUAUUGAUUUUUCUUUUCUGUUAAAAAUCAUUAGGAAAUUAAGUAAAGAUCAUGUUCCAUGAAGAUAUUUUGUAAAUUUCCUACCAUAAAUAUAUCAAAACUCAAUUUUUGAUCAGUAAUAUGCAUUGCUAAGGAUUUCAUUUAGACAACUUUAAGGCAGACUUUCUCAAUUUUUUUAUUUAUUUAUUUAUUUAUUUAUUUUUGCAUCCUUAAGAUUACAGAUUUUCAAACAGUUGUAUCUCGGCCAAAUAUUGUCAUAUCCUAAUGAACCAUACAUCAAAGCUCAUUUAUUCAGCUUUUAGAUGAUGUAUAAAUCUCAAUUUCAAAACAUUGACCCUUAUGACUGAUUUUGUGAUCCAGGGUCACAAAUGUUAUUAAUGCAGUACUCAAAAUGUUAUUUUAGUGUCACAAAGGAAACAGCUAUGAAUACUUGUUACACAUUUGUACGCAUAUUCUAUUUUUAUAUCUCUUUACAUUAUAUCAUAUAACAAAUGUCUAGACAAGCAGAUUGUGAGACUGUCAGGUGGAUUUGAGAUGAAUGAGUGUAGAUCUUAUCUUAAAUGUCAAACACGCUCAGUUGAUCUCCAUUCUCUAUUUUCAGUACACUAUCGCAGCAUUAACAAAGUUGCUGUGUUACUCUAAUUUGCAUUUAAUUGAGGGUUAAUGCCACUGUUCCUCUGGACAGAAGUCUUGUCUGCAGGCAAAUUCUCAAAUGCAAAGAUCUUGUCUGGAGUGAUUGUAUUUAAAUUGUACAAUACAUCAACCUUUGUCUUUUGUGCCACACCUGUGACAACUUCAACCUGUAAGGAAUGUAAAAACCACUUGGUUAUGGGAGCAAUGAUGAUUACAACAGAAAAACAGCAGCAUUUACAAUUCAC
Molecule: long non-coding RNA, 2234 nt
Organism: Labeo rohita (rohu)
Lineage: Eukaryota; Metazoa; Chordata; Actinopteri; Cypriniformes; Cyprinidae
Exons: 3
Source: RefSeq, a predicted model, not a curated record